GUUGUUUGCCAGAGUACUGUCAAUGUGAAUGUUCAUGUCUCCCAUGACAAUCAGUGGUGUGCCAUCAUCAGGGAUGUCAGAGAGUAACAUGUCCAUUUCAGAGACAAAGCCAUCCAGAUUACCCCCUGGUGGGCGGUACACAACCAGAAUAUAUGCUUUGAUGAUGCUUUUAUGUCUGUAUGUCUUCAUCAUGUCUGUAUGUCUUCAUCAUGUCUGUAUGUGUACAUGUACACAUAUAUGUAUAUGUAAUUGUAUGGGGGCAGAGGGGUGCUGAUAACGUGUCGGGGGCCUCUGGUUACGUACGGAUGAACCGCUUUAAACCGGUCGUUGAAAUGGGAUAAAUAUUAAGAAAAACGUUGAAAACGUGUCAGAACAGACGUGUUAUCAGGAGACGUGAAUCAACAUGUGAUUUUAUGUUCUGUGACUGUCGAACGGCACUUUCUUUUUUGGCUGUGUUUAUGUAUUUAUUGAUUAUUCGGUGACUGUGGCGGUUUUGUGUCCUCAGAGUUCUUUGUCUCUCCUGUUCACGUCCCAAAAUGUUGCGACGCACAGUCGGGCCCGGGGAAACACAAGCUGCUGCCGUUGGACGACCGAGACGAGCCGAAGAGGAGGAACUGCAGAGACGAUGACGAGCCGGGCGUGCUGUCGGACUCGGAGAACGAGGAGCCGGUUGGCAGGAGGAUCAGAAACAUUUCGGCCUUCGUCAGGAAAACCAAAAACUGCGCAGCUUUCACGGGGUGAGCACAAGUCGCUGCGUCCUCAAAG
Plectropomus leopardus (leopard coralgrouper) is the source of this 765-nucleotide non-coding RNA. The record is from RefSeq and is a predicted model, not a curated record. NCBI's taxonomy places the organism in Eukaryota, Metazoa, Chordata, Actinopteri, Perciformes, Serranidae.